UUCGAACGGUGGUAGCAAUACCAUAGUGGCGCACGGGUGCGUAACGCGUAGCCAACCUACCCGAAUCUGGGGGAUAGCCCGCCGAAAGGCGGAUUAAUACCGCAUAAAACCACAGCCCGGCAUCGGGCAAUGGUUAAAGAUUUAUUGGAUUCGGAUGGGGCUGCGUGCCAUUAGCUAGUUGGGGGGGUAACGGCCCACCAAGGCGACGAUGGCUAGGGGAGCUGAGAGGCUGGUCCCCCACACGGGCACUGAGAUACGGGCCCGACUCCUACGGGAGGCAGCAGUAGGGAAUAUUGGGCAAUGGGCGAGAGCCUGACCCAGCCAUGCCGCGUGCAGGACGAAGGCUUUCUGAGUCGUAAACUGCUUUUGCCAGGGAAGAAAAAAGGGGAUGCGUCCUCUACUGACGGUACCUGGUGAAUAAGCACCGGCUAACUCCGUGCCAGCAGCCGCGGUAAUACGGAGGGUGCAAGCGUUGUCCGGAUUUAUUGGGUUUAAAGGGUGCGUAGGCGGUUCUUUAAGUCUGGGGUGAAAGCCCGUUGCUCAACAACGGAACUGCCCUGGAAACUGGAGGACUUGAGUACAGACG
This 586-nucleotide ribosomal RNA is filed under the name uncultured bacterium. Its description in RNAcentral is "bacterial SSU rRNA". It matches the Rfam family "Bacterial small subunit ribosomal RNA", at positions 61 to 654 of the family's 1533-position model. The record is from RNAcentral.